RNAcentral lists this ribosomal RNA (494 nucleotides) under uncultured bacterium. Its description in RNAcentral is "partial 16S ribosomal RNA". It matches the Rfam family "Bacterial small subunit ribosomal RNA", at positions 28 to 507 of the family's 1533-position model. The record is from RNAcentral.
GACGAACGCUGGCGGCGUGCUUAACACAUGCAAGUCGAACGGAAAGGCCUGCUUUCCCUUGUGGAUAGCGGGUGCUCGAGUGGGGAACGGGUGAGUAAAAAGCGUGUGAUCUGCCCCCAAAUUGGGUAUAAGCCUGGGAAACUGGGUCUAAUUAUCGAUAGGACUGCAGGGUGGUGCAGGUGGUGGAGAACGAUGUUGUAGUGGUUGGGGAUGCGCUCGCGGACUAUCAGGUUGUUGUUGGGGUGAUGGCCUACCAAGGCGGCGACGGGUAGCCGGCCGGAGAUGGUGGACGGCCACAUUGAGACUGAGAUACGGCCCAGACUCCUACGGGAAGCAGCAAAGGGGAAGAUUUCACAAUGAGCGGAAGCCUGAUGCAGCGACGCCGCGAUGGGGAUGACGGCCUUCGGGUUGUAAGCUCCUUUCGACCGCGAGUUAUCCACCUGGUUGGAAGGGUCGUGACGGUAGUGGUAGAAGAAGCACCGGCUAACUACGUG